UACGUAGGGUGCGAGCGUUGUCCGGAAUUAUUGGGCGUAAAGAGCUUGUAGGCGGUUUGUCGCGUCUGCCGUGAAAAUUCGAGGCUCAACCUCGAACUUGCGGUGGGUACGGGCAGACUAGAGUGUGGUAGGGGAGACUGGAAUUCCUGGUGUAGCGGUGAAAUGCGCAGAUAUCAGGAGGAACACCGAUGGCGAAGGCAGGUCUCUGGGCCACUACUGACGCUGAGAAGCGAAAGCAUGGGGGAGCGAACAGG
This 254-nucleotide ribosomal RNA is filed under the name uncultured bacterium. Its description in RNAcentral is "partial 16S ribosomal RNA". It matches the Rfam family "Bacterial small subunit ribosomal RNA", at positions 524 to 776 of the family's 1533-position model. The record is from RNAcentral.